CACACUGAUAAGUCGUCAAAUGCAAAUUUUCUUGUUUUCUGUGUUGAUUACACCAUGGGCCUUGAACAAAAGGAGAAAAUGCAGGGGUUCUUUGCAAUCUGGGGGAAUGCCUUCGAAGGGACCACCUCCCUCACCACCACCGCCUCCAAUGCCGGCGAUGAUUUUCAAAAUAUCACUGGGAGAAUAACCACCAAGCAUGCCAUUCACCAACUGUAAGUAAAUAAGCCAACAAUGCCCUUUUCUUGCGCUUCCACCCAAACAUCAUUCAAUAAUUCAAUACCCAAUUCAUUGAUUAAAGCAUGGAAGAAGUCAUUGAUGCGAGGUUCUUCAAUGAUAUCUUCAAUAUUUACCCAAAGUUCUCCAAUGCUUAGCUAAAAUAUGAAAAGCUGAUACACACAUUCAAAGUAUUUUAUUAAUAGAAAAGAACUAACCUCAAUUGUUAAGCCACGAAUACCAACACUGCUUAAAGAAAUACUAAAUAUCCAGGAAAUGGCAAAUCUGGCAGAUCCCAAGCGGCCACUGUUAAGGGAAUACAAAGAAUGUGUUAAUCAAAAUGUUUUGUAGUCAAUUUGUAAUGCAUCAAAAUAUUCAUAUCUAACCCUAUAAGGUUGUUAUAGAGAUUUGUUGGCCAUAUAGGCUAAUCUGUCCAGCCAUAAAGAUUGAUAGCCUGACAAUAUCCUUCUGAUGUUCAAAAUGAGGGUCUUUUGAAUUGUAAAAGAUCCAUGGAGUUCCAUCUCCGUUCAAGUUAACUACACGUGCUAUGGAGCCCUUGGCUGUAUACAAGGACUUAAGAACGGUCAUGGGCAUAACAAUUUCCAUGUUGGAUCUUCUAAAAGGUGUUGUUGUAAUCUUCAGAGACGUCACAUCAAAAUCCGAUAAGCCAGUCAAAGCUAAAUUUGUCAAAGAUCCAGUAAAACUAAAUUAAAGUUGAAAGAAUUUAUAACAAAAAUUUGUUUUAUAAAAAAAUUUGUUUUGAAAAAACUCACUCAACCAGAUAUUGAUUAUCCACACUGGUUUCAACAUGAUCAAUUUUUAUGGGAUCCAAUGCUGGUAGUCCAAACUUUGGUAUGGGAUGGCACAUACGCAUACGCAAUUCCUCAAGGAAUUCUAAAAUAGCAUCCUCCAUCAGGGCAUUGCCCUGUGGUAGUGAGCUUGUAAAUAUGGCUAUUACAGCCACUAUGGUUUAUCUUCACUCACCAAUUUCCCACCUCAAUACCCAAAUGAUUAGCAGCAGUUGUAGCAAACC
Molecule: long non-coding RNA, 1246 nt
Organism: Stomoxys calcitrans (stable fly)
Lineage: Eukaryota; Metazoa; Arthropoda; Insecta; Diptera; Muscidae
Exons: 5
Source: RefSeq, a predicted model, not a curated record